CAGGAUAGGGCUGUAAAGUAUUUCGUUUACAUCGAAAAAUGGGUUGUUUAGUCAACAUAUCCUGA
This 65-nucleotide transfer RNA is filed under the name Ellipes minuta. RNAcentral describes it as "tRNA-Val". Lineage: Eukaryota; Metazoa; Arthropoda; Insecta; Orthoptera; Tridactylidae. The record is from RNAcentral.